This is a long non-coding RNA of Aphidius gifuensis, 1641 nucleotides long. RefSeq lists it as uncharacterized. Lineage: Eukaryota; Metazoa; Arthropoda; Insecta; Hymenoptera; Braconidae. The transcript has 5 exons. The record is from RefSeq and is a predicted model, not a curated record.
AUUUAUUGUAAAUAUGUUUUUUCUAAUUAAGGGGUUAGGUUGGGCGUCAAAAAAGUAUGUUAAUAAAAAAAAAACUAUUAAUGAGAAAACUAUCAGUAUUCUUAAAUGUUGAUGCAAAUUGAUGGAUUCAGUGUACAACAACAACAAAAAAAUCCAUCACAAACUGACAUACAUUCAGUUAAAAAUCCACUUGAUAUAACACAUGAAAAAUUAACAAACAGUGAACAUGAACAUGGUGUAUCAAAAAUAAUAAUCAAAAUUUAUUAAAUGAUGGUGAAUGGCACAGAUUGGAUGUUACAUGGAAUCUUUAUAAUAUUGAAUUAAUUGUUGACAUGUGUAAAAAUGACGAAUCAUUAUGCUACGAAACUGCUCCAGUUCCAUUGUCAAAUGAUUAUUAUUUAAGUAUAAAUGGACCAGUACAAAUUGGUGGUUUCAAUAUUUUAAGUAAUUCAAUUGAACAACACAAAUAGAAAAAAUCACCAAAAGGUAUUGGUUUUGAUGGUUGUAUUAAAAAUAUAAUUUACAAUAUGGCUAAGUGAAAUUAAAGUUAAUGAUGGACAAUAUCCAUAUGGCAUACUGUCAAAGUAUGAAGAUAUGGUUCUGCUUGUAUGACUGAACUUUAUGGUGGUGAAGGAAUAAGAUUCAAUGAAACAAUAAUAUUUAAAGGACAACAAAAUUUUAUUAUUGAUAAAAAUGAUGGUGUUUAGAUUGGUAGUGUUGAGCCAUCUGGUACAUAUGAUUUUUUUGUAUUUGUUGAGUUUUUCAAUUUAGUGUUCAAAUUUUCAUUUAAAUGAACGUUGCAUUUAUUGUUAAGUGCGUGAAUCAUGGAAAAAUCAGGGAGACUGGAUUUAUAAUUUUAAAUAAAAAAGUGAUAAUGUAUUUGUAAUGACACAGCCAAGAUCAGGUACAACAGUGACAACUGAAAUGACAUGGCUAUUGAUAAACAAUUUAGACUAUGAAAAUGCUAAAAAAAUACGUCUUGAAGAACGAGUUUUUGAGCAAGAAUUGGGCCUGUAUGACAACAGAUGGUCUGAAGCAAAAGUUGCAAUUCGAAAUGAAAAUGAUCCAACAUCUUGGAUUCAUCUGUUAAAUGUAAAAAUAUUAGAAAUUAUUAUGAUGCACAUGUAAAUACAAGUGGGCCAAGAAUUAUUAAAACCCAUUUGGCAUUUAGUUUACAUAAAAAUAUUUUCCGGUGCUAAGAUAAAUUAUAUCGUACGAGAUCCAAAAGAUCUGAGUAAUGAGUUCAUUUCGUGGUGGCGUUUUUCAAAUAAUGCUUAUCAGCCCAUUCAGAAACGUAAACUUGACGAAAAAAAUUUACGAAAUCAAAUUUACAUUGUUGUAAUUUAAAGCUAAGUAUAAAUAUUAUUUUGAAUAGUUAGUCUUGGACCAUAUUGGCCACAUGUAAAAAAGGCUGGAAUUUGCGAAAUAAUAAGAACGUUUUAUUUUUAUUUUAUGAAGAUAUUAAAAUGAAUCUUUUCGAAACUAUUAAAAAAGUUUCACAUUUUUUUGGAUAAAACACAUUUGGAUGAAGAAAUUUAGAGUCUUGUUUGUCAUUUGGAUAUUGAUAAAUUUCGAAUUCAAUGGUUAAUUCAGUUGCUGGUUUACCAACCCUUAGAGCAUGUUUCAUUGGUCAAGGUAAAA